Apis florea (little honeybee) is the source of this 1758-nucleotide long non-coding RNA. The record is from RefSeq and is a predicted model, not a curated record. NCBI's taxonomy places the organism in Eukaryota, Metazoa, Arthropoda, Insecta, Hymenoptera, Apidae.
UUAUGCGUAAUCUCCAUUGAGAAGACCAAACGGAUCGCGACUAAAUAUCAAGUUGCACGACGAUACACGUUUCGUGUUCUCUUCUUUCGAUUCAGGAACACGUUCCCGCCGACCGUGAGGCAUAGUAACACGAUUUCUUCUGCCUGAUCAGAUCGAACGUUUCUGACUCAUCGUUCAUUGGCCAACAUCGAUAUUCGCCAACCAGUCACGAUCUUCUUCUCGUCGAUAUCUCCCUGCAUGGAAUAAACUUUAUCGUAAACAUUAUCCUGUUUGACUGUUUAUUCUUGAUUAAAAAGUACAUACAUGCUAAUAAUAUUCGUUCUUAAAAAGCAUAUACGUAAUUUGCAAGAAAUAUUCAUCGAUCUUUCCUGUUCAAUUUUUUCAACCAAUCAAAGAUGUCUAUGAUCAAUCGUUGUUAAGCGAAACGUGUUCGUACAGUAAUAGCUGCCAACUGCUAAAAUAAUCAAGUUUCUCCUCUUUCAAAUCGUUUGGCUAGUGGUAAACGUUACACUAUGCACGUAACGCGUUACAAAAUAACUUUCCAAACGCACACAAUGAUCACGUAACACUUGGGUCAUCGCAAUUGGUUUUUUUUUUUUAUAAGAAAAUUGAAGAGGAAGAAAACAUUGUGAAAGAAAUUAUACCAGUGCCACAGAAUUUUCAGAGUUAAAUAUACAAAUCGUGAAAUUUGUCGAGGAGAAACAAGCGCAACACCAGCGCCUUUCCAAACACUGCGCCGUCAUUUGAAAACUUUAGAAUGCUCGACAGAAUGUUGCUCCCAAUGCAACAAUGUACCGGCUUGGAAUAAUUAGUUUACCUCGCGUGCCAGAAAUCUUUUCCGCACGUGGCCUCCUGCAUUCAAUGUUUAACUCCUUGCGUGACUGAUUAAGAGAGCGACGAGAAGUGAGAAACAAGUGAUAAUCGAGAAAAUGAAACUGACGAAUAACGAACUUCAUCUUAAUAAUAAAUGGUGGACGCAUCACUGGUUAAGCUAGGUUAGGUUACGCAACAGAGAUUCUUAUUACUAGUGUAGAGGCACUGGAAUACUUUCCCUUCCUUUACGACUCCUUGUAAAGAGCCACAACAGCCUCCUUUUACUUCUUUUCCACGCGCAUAAUUUGUUCCUUUUUCUUCGAUUCGAGGUUACGUCGAAGAACGUUUCUCCAUCUCGUUUUCCCACUAAUCAACCAUUUUAAUAAUAGUUUUUCUCCAUUAUUGUGGCAGAACUUCCGGAUCCAGCCACGUCAAAGAAUGUAUUCAUGCGCGACGGUAUAUUUCCGGGAGAAAUACAACGGUAUACGGUUUAUUAGCCUAGAAUUUUUAUCAGGGCGGAAGGAAAACAGUGGCGGAACAGUGGUCGAAGAAACUUUGCCAGAGUAAUAAUAUCCUGUUUGAGAAAAAUCUGCAUGCAUCUUCACCAACAUAAGUUACAUGGAUUUUGCUAGAAGAAUUGAAUUAUGCAUGAAUAUUGCCUUCUAAACGAUGAACGAAUAUUUUUGGCAUAAAGUGAAAGUAUUAUAGAAAAGCGUUUGAUAGUUCAAACAGAUAUUUAUUUAGAAAGAAUUACGAAACAGGAAAUAUACUCGUGUUUCGUAAUUGAAGAGGUUAGAUAUGCAAGUGACAUUUUCUUAUUUAAUGCCUACGAUAUAAAUUCUUUUUUAAUUUUUUAAAUACAAAAUAUUUUUCAUCUCUAGAUAAUAUAAUAUAUCAUCUCUAACAAAAAAUUGGUCAAUAACCUACGAAUGAAAAAUAAUCAAA